AAAACUGAUUUUAGUUAAUCUUUAUUUUGGUGGAGAAAUAUCACACAGUUUUUAUUGCAUAGUUUUUAAAUAUUAAGUUGCCAGUGUGAAAAAGUGGAGGGAUAAACAGUUGUGGGAGGGAGUUGAGGAAAGAAUGGUAGUUAAAGAAGAAACCCGUGCUCAGGUGUAUCCAGAGAGGAAGGGAGGAUAGUUUAAGGAAGGUUUCAUUUAAUUUAGUUUACUUGGAAGAAAUUCAAGCAUAUUUUUGCUCUGAGGGGAUGGAGCUAGGGUAGAAGGAGUAGUUGAAAUUAUACCAGAGAAAAACAAAAUCUGGUACACAUGAGAAAGGAUGGAAUCUUAAGCAGUACUU
This 349-nucleotide long non-coding RNA is filed under the name Bos taurus (domestic cattle). RNAcentral describes it as "long non-coding RNA NONBTAT016018". The record is from RNAcentral. Lineage: Eukaryota; Metazoa; Chordata; Mammalia; Artiodactyla; Bovidae.